CAAAUCUUCAUUUUCAAGGUUGAAAGGUUUUUGGUUGAUCUUCAUGCCUCCAAGCUCAUCCAGGUUUUAAUGGUAUUUCGGGACUACUUGGAUUAGGACCUUGUUGGUGCUAGUUUUGUCAGAUUUGGAGGCAGUUGGAACCUAGUUUGAGUCGCACACAUAUGCUCGUCUUCUUGGUAGGUACUAUGGCAUCUCAGUAGCUGCACCUUCACUAUGGUCACUCCCUUGGAAGUUUAGAGUCCUUAUCAUUGAACAUAUGUACCUUGAUGUAAAUUGUUAAGAUAUAUAUAUCUUAAGCAAUAGAUGUUUAUGUUGAUUAAUGUUGCCACUACGAGAUGGCACAAAUGACAUUAUUUUAAAUCAUAAAUGUGAACAUAUGGUUUCGAUGGAAAAGUAU
Molecule: small RNA, 397 nt
Filed under: Theobroma cacao (cacao)
Lineage: Eukaryota; Viridiplantae; Streptophyta; Magnoliopsida; Malvales; Malvaceae
Description: sRNA Tc05v2_g012980
Source: RNAcentral